GACGAACGCUGGCGGCGUGCUUAACACAUGCAAGUGGAGCGACGAACCGGGGCUUGCCCCGGGGCAGAGCCGCGAACGGGUGAGUAACACGUGGGUAACCCACCUCGAUGACCGGGACAACCCGAGGAAACUCGGGCUAAUACCGGAUGUGAUCCUCUUUCGUAAGGAAGAGAAUGAAAGAUAGCUUCGGCCUUCGCAUCGAGACGGGCCCGCGGCCCAUUAGCUUGUUGGUGGGGUAACGGCCUACCAAGGCNGCGAUGGGUAGCUGGUCUGAGAGGACAAUCAGCCACACUGGGACUGAGACACGGCCCAGACUCCUACGGGAGGCAGCAGUGGGGAAUCUUGCACAAUGCGCGAAAGCGUGAUGCAGCAACGCCGCGUGGGGAAGACGGCCU
RNAcentral lists this ribosomal RNA (395 nucleotides) under uncultured bacterium. RNAcentral's name for it is "bacterial SSU rRNA". It matches the Rfam family "Bacterial small subunit ribosomal RNA", at positions 28 to 417 of the family's 1533-position model. The record is from RNAcentral.